Mauremys mutica (yellowpond turtle) is the source of this 940-nucleotide long non-coding RNA. RefSeq lists it as uncharacterized. The transcript is spliced from 4 exons. The record is from RefSeq and is a predicted model, not a curated record. NCBI's taxonomy places the organism in Eukaryota, Metazoa, Chordata, Testudines, Geoemydidae.
CCAUACGCCCAGGAAGGACAUAUCGCUCUUAGCCUUGAAGUACUCACCCUGCAGCAGCACCCAGGCCUGAUCUAGAUCCCAUUAAAGUGGAAACUCUCCCAUUUGCUUUACUGGGGGCCUGAUCCAACUUCCAUUGCAGAAAUGUGGAAGAGCAUUGUCAGUGAUCCAGUUCUAUAUGGAGCCACUUAACCUGAUCUGUGACAUGCCAUGGAUGGGCUCAUGGGCCUGGGUAGCAUCCAGAGCCUCACCAAGCACUGUGACCAGCAGGGAUUUAGCCAGUCAGGCUUCAGGCCCAUCUGCUGCCUCACUUCUCUCUCAGAUGCUGACUCACUGUCUUCCCCCCCAGUGGUCCUCCAGCUCUCCCACUAUAAUUAGGUAUCUGAGCAUGUACGUGAAUUGGGAGAUUUUUUUCUUCCCUGUCUCCUCUUCCCCCUAUUGAUGAGAAAGGAAGGACAGCCUACAGUGGUGGAAGGAUAUUUAGAGGAAUCCAACACAAAUGACUGGCCAGAUUCUCUUCUGAAGCACAGUUCUCUUGGAGCAGGAAGUGGGACAUCAGGGCAUUAUGGCCUUCUGAUUCUCAGGCUGUCCAAGAGCAGAGCUGUGUUCUGCCUCACCCCUAACAAACCUCUGUGCUGGAGUGGGUUGUCAGAGGAGCCAGCGAUACCAGUUUUACAGCUGCUGAGAGCCUCCCUCUGCUGGUGGACUUCAACAAGGCAUCUGUGGCCAGAUUCCGGCCCCUUUGUGCCAUACAGGUAGGGCGUAGGGGUUGGAAUCAGGGCAGAGAAUCUGACCUGAUGUAUUCUUUGCCUGCUGUUUGUCUAUUCUUAAUGUAAUUGAAAGAUUUGCUCCCUUGUUAUGGCCAAACAGAAGCUUGAAGAGACUUGCUGAUGAGACUAUGUAAAGCUCUUCAGCAUACCGGCUGCAGGUCUAGCUUUGUAUU